RNAcentral lists this ribosomal RNA (497 nucleotides) under uncultured bacterium. RNAcentral describes it as "partial 16S ribosomal RNA". It matches the Rfam family "Bacterial small subunit ribosomal RNA", at positions 28 to 507 of the family's 1533-position model. The record is from RNAcentral.
GACGAACGCUGGCGGCGUGCCUAAUACAUGCAAGUCGAGCGCUGAAGGUUGGUACUUGUACCAACUGGAUGAGCCGCGAACGGGUGAGUAACGCGUGGGGAAUCUGCCUUUGAGCGGGGGACAACAUUUGGAAACGAAUGCUAAUACCGCAUAAAAACCUUAAACACAAGUUUUAAGUUUGAAAGAUGCAAUUGCAUCACUCAAAGAUGACCCCGCGUUGUAUUAGCUAGUUGGUGAGGUAAAGGCUCACCAAGGCGAUGAUACAUAGCCGACCUGAGAGGGUGAUCGGCCACAUUGGGACUGAGACACGGCCCAAAGUCCUACGGGAGGCAGCAGUAGGGAAACUUCGGCCAUGGACGAAAGUCAGACCGAGCAACGCCGCGUGAGUGAAGAAGGUUUUCGGAUCGUAAAACUCUGUUGGUAGGGAAGAACGUUGGUGAGAGUGGAAAGCUCAUCAAGUGACGGUAACUACCCAGAAAGGGACGGCUAACUACGUG